AGGCUGCGCGCUCCUUAUGAGAAUCUAACGCCUGAUGACCUAUCACUGUCUCCCAUCACUCCCAGAUGGGACCGUCUAGUUGCAGGAAAACAAGCUCAGGGCUCCCACUGAUUCUACAUUAUGAUCAACUGCAUGGGGUCCUACAGGAGAAGACCAAGAGACAGAGACAGAGACCAGGGAAAAUGACCGAUACCAUUCCUUCUCAGGGAUGCUACACACCCAUGGGGCAGAGGAUAAGAGGUUCCUGAAGGCAUCACCCCUCUGGCCAUGGCUGGUGUGCAGACAAAGCUGGAGAUUUGGAGUAGCCUGUUGUCCCACUGACUCUUAGACUGCCCCAGCUAAGAAGAACCAACUCCUCCUAUUACAGAUGAAAUAAACAAAGCUACUCAAGCUCUCUGGCAUCGCCCUGACGGUCAUCAUGUGCUUCACAUUUCCCUCCUGCCCCCCCUGAUUUUCUGGAAAAGGGAGAAAGUGUGUGAAAAAAAAUGGACAAUAACUUCUGUUAACUUUGUAGAUGUCUGGUUCCUCCAUAUGAGGCUGUGCUUGAAUCAAUUUUGGAGAGAGGGUUUCUAAAGUCUCUCUAGAUUCUAUUAAUUUUGAUAGAGACAAUAAAAGGCAGCAGGACCAACUCUGUGUGGUGGGAGAUCUAGCAACCAUUAUAGUCACAAUAGCCACCACUUACUGAACACCCACCAUGUGACAAAGAACAAAUGUGCAUGAAUUAUGUCACAUUUUUCACAAGCACCCCUUGAGUUGGGAGUUCACUCAUGAGGCAACUGAGGUUCAGGGAGAUGAAGUAACUCACCCUGUAGGUAGGAGGGCUGAGAUCUGGACGUAGAUCUUUCCUCCAAAGCUUUGUCUUUUUUUUUCUACUAUAGCACACCAAAGAGAGUUCUAGAAAAAAUGAGAAUAAGAAAUUUACCUGUAAUCCUUGCUCAAGAAACUGAAGCUCUGAGGCCACAUUGUUCCAGCCUUUUGCAGCUCCUGCAUGUGGAUACCAGCACCAGCAGCUCCCCGACCAGGGGCCCCAGCUAAGCCCUCCCAGAGGAUGAUCUUGGCUUUGUACAUGGGGUGUCAAUAUCCUGUGAGUCCAACAGAGGGAAGACAUAAGAAUAUGGUCACCCAGGUUUUGUACAGAGGAAAUCCAGGCUCCUAACGAUGGCGAAAGAUGGGAAUAAAAGGAUCAGAACACUGAGCUGGAUCUUCAGUUCAUUUCAGAACCACCUUAAAAGUAGACCUUUCAGAGCUACCCGAGAAUCCUGGUCCCUGCAGCUGAUCUUCCCACCUCCACCCAGCUCUCGUCCUCCUCUUCCUCCCCAUCCACCAUCCUGACCAGGUGAGCUGGCUUCCCCUGCUCAACAGCUCUACGAGUUUGCACUUCUGGAUUUGGUCAGGUCAAGACCAGCUCCCCCAAAUAUACCUCUGUCCUAGACAGCCUUGUUCUAAACAGAAACUGAUGAUAACAUGGAGGAAGAGGCUUGAACGGAAAGGUGGAGGAGGGAAGGAAGGAACAGGGAGAAGUCAUCUCUAGGUUGGCAGUCCCUGUCAGCCUCUUAGGACUUCUCACCUCUGCAGCAGUGAUGGUAGAGUCGUGUCUUACUCCCUGGGGGGAGGUGGGUGGUUCCUGACACCAUCCCCUGCUUCCCCAAGUUCUCCUCUUUAGAAAAGGAUGGAGGUCUAUGAUGCAGGCAAGGUCAUCACAGAUUCUAUUCCCUCCUUCUAGUGAUCUCAAACGUGACAUUAAAUAAAUGUAGCAAAGAGGUUCUUUAUGAA
Homo sapiens (human) is the source of this 1773-nucleotide long non-coding RNA. Ensembl annotates it as long intergenic non-protein coding RNA 3060. NCBI's taxonomy places the organism in Eukaryota, Metazoa, Chordata, Mammalia, Primates, Hominidae. The record is from Ensembl.